UGUCAAGCAGAUUAAGUAUUGAUGACAAUCAGUUCAAUACUUAUUCCGCUUCUGGCAGA
This 59-nucleotide microRNA precursor is filed under the name Eisenia fetida (common brandling worm). RNAcentral describes it as "Efe-Mir-2707-v1_pre stem-loop". The record is from RNAcentral. Lineage: Eukaryota; Metazoa; Annelida; Clitellata; Crassiclitellata; Lumbricidae.